CUCCCUCAAACCCUUGGGUUUGGUGUUGAGCAAUACGCGAUACGGUUUGUUUGAAAUAUAGUAAUGUACCGACGUAAACGACUUAGGUCUAACCAAAACGUUUCUUUGGGUACUCAUGCUUUUUUCAAC
This 129-nucleotide unclassified non-coding RNA is filed under the name uncultured Candida. Its description in RNAcentral is "sequence contains ITS2". The record is from RNAcentral. Lineage: Eukaryota; Fungi; Ascomycota; Saccharomycetes; Saccharomycetales.